GUUUCAUCAUUCAGUUGGAGAAGAUAAAUGAAGACAAAACUUGGUUCUUACUUUCUGUACUUAGAAAGAAGGCAUAACAAAUCUUGCCAUUUGUCAAAAGAACCACGUUUGCUUCCCUUUCUCAAGGAAAGCCUGUACCAUCCCCAUGGAAUGGAAUCUUCCUCCACUUCCCGAGAACUCCCACCAUCCUCUAAGAUUGAGUUCACUGCUGACUUUAUAUGUGAACCAUCCUUGCAUCUCCUAAUGUAGACAGCUAAAUCUCACCUUAAAUCAGCUCUGCUUUUUCUACAUUUGCUGCAAAAUGGGGAUAUCCCAUCUCCUGCUGCAACUUGCUGAGAUCUGAUUUGUGUCUGCCUGGUGACUCUGAAUCCAUUAGAAGAAAUUCCCACUAUUCUGUUACCAGAGAACAUGCUGGAUUCAUGUACCUUAAUCCCUGGGGCAAGCCCUUCUCCGAGGCCAAAAACCCACGAAAGUGAUCACUGACAUUGGAAACAGAAGCAUUCCGUUUCUCAAGUUAGUUAUGCUAUUUCUCCUUCUUUCUUCUACAAAUAAAACUUCCCUUAUCAGAGAUCA
This 573-nucleotide long non-coding RNA is filed under the name Vulpes vulpes (red fox). Its description in RNAcentral is "lncRNA (ENSVVUG00000024260.1)". Lineage: Eukaryota; Metazoa; Chordata; Mammalia; Carnivora; Canidae. The record is from RNAcentral.